ACCAAUAUCGGACUGGCGUUUGUUCGCGCGACCAAUACAAUUUACAAUGACGCGGCCAACUCUCACGACCGCGUGACCAAUAUCGGUGCAGUGGUCGUUUAUACGAGCCGCCGAUGCAGAUGUGCGCAAGACACCGUCCCCGCUGUUCGGACGACAUCAACCCACCAGUGCGGUGCUCGCCUGUAUGAGCUGUCCAACAGACGCGUGCAAAACGCCGCCCCCACGGUCCGGUUUACGCCAACACGCCAGUGCUACGCUCACCUAUACGAGCCGUCCAAUAGACGUAUGCAAACCGCCCCUGCGGCCUGUCUUCUCCAACAACAUUG
RNAcentral lists this long non-coding RNA (326 nucleotides) under Hordeum vulgare. Its description in RNAcentral is "long non-coding RNA (HVUL_LNC001255)". Lineage: Eukaryota; Viridiplantae; Streptophyta; Magnoliopsida; Poales; Poaceae. The record is from RNAcentral.